AGCACCCAGGGAGGCUGUGUUCAGACGGACAGCCCAUUGUCUGUGCUUCUCCAGUUUCAUCAGGCAGUUUUAGAGGCAUUAAACCCGAACAGGUCACACUGGGCUAACGAAUUUCAUUCUGCGUGGACGACGAUGACCCACGAACCAAAGCCGGCAACUGUGACCUCUGGCCGUGUGGUCUCACAGUGGCGGUGGUUGACAGGUGGCUGGAUCCUGGGCCAGGGAUUCAGGAUCUAUUGAAUGCCUACUAUGUGCUGAGCCUUGCCUGCCUGGGUGCUGGGGACAGAGCUGUUAUAGAGACACAUGCAAAGGAGACGCGCGAAAUCCAAGUUUUCAUAGUCACUGAAUUUUCCAGGAGUGCAACGACCGUGUCAAUUGAGGAGGGCUGUUCUUGGUUUCAUUUGGACGUUAACCAAGAGCUGGUCACCAUUUCGGAAAAUCGCGUCACCAUUGGCCUCACCCACGGGCACACCUGUGAGCAUCUGCACUUGCAGCUGUUGCCUUCCUGGGGACCCUGGAAGGGGGCAAGCGUCUGAAUCCUUCUUUAUGUGGCCGAGGGAGUCCAGCGUCCCUGUAUAUGAUUUUAUGGCAAAUUACCUUCCUUUUAAUCCUCUUUUAUAUUAUAAUGAAGACAUUAUAUUGUUUUAAACAUCAUAUGUACACGUGAAUUAUAUACCUGUAAAUUCAACUUCAGGAUAGAAAGGCACAUUACCAAAUAUUAUAUAAAUACAAUAUAAUAUCUAUUAUAUAAAUAUAUUUUGUAAAAGGAGCGUCGGGUUUGAACGGGUUGGGGAGCCUGUGAGUCAGGAGACGGGAAAUGGUUUCGUGACGGGUGAGUCAGGGCUAAACGGGGGGACCAGGCAGCCGGGACAGCCACCAAGCAG
RNAcentral lists this long non-coding RNA (884 nucleotides) under Equus caballus (horse). RNAcentral describes it as "lncRNA (ENSECAG00000057243.1)". The record is from RNAcentral. Lineage: Eukaryota; Metazoa; Chordata; Mammalia; Perissodactyla; Equidae.